CUGCUGCCUUCCGUAGGAGUUUGGACCGUGUCUCAGUUCCAAUGUGGGGGACCUUCCUCUCAGAACCCCUACGCAUCGUCGGCUUGGUGGGCCGUUGCCCCACCAACUACCUAAUGCGCCGCAUGCCCAUCCAUGACCGGGGUCGCCCCCUUUGACCGGCAGGGGAUGUCCCCUCCCGGCAUUAUGUUGUAUUAGGCGGGAUUUCUCCCGGUUAUCCAUCUGUCACGGCCAGGUUGCAUACGUGUUACUCACCCGUGCGCCGGUCGCCGGG
RNAcentral lists this ribosomal RNA (271 nucleotides) under uncultured bacterium. RNAcentral describes it as "partial 16S ribosomal RNA". The record is from RNAcentral.